CAUAAGACACCAAACUCAACAUCUCAACAUCAAUCAUCUCUGUCAGACGUGUUCAGGCCACACCCCCUGUUGCAGUUUAACAGAAACUGUGAGCCGAUUGGUCAUCGCUGCUAUGGUGGGCGUGACUGCUGUGACUGUAGUGGUUUAUGAACUGAGAUCAUAGACAUCAGAGGACACCAGAGGGCGAUAGUAAUAUCUGUUUAUGAACACCUAAAGUGGUUUUAUGUGAUGUGUAUUUUGUGACAUUUGUGAAUUUCAAAUAAAGUUAAAGGCAAAACUUAGAAACAUGUCUUGUUGUUUUAACACAUUGUUGAGGCAAAUAUAAACAUUUUCUGGGAUAAUUUACCCCAACCGCUGAGUUUGUCCCUUUUUGAAAAUAACUUAAUUAAUCAUUUUCAGAGUGAAUUUGUUUUUAUUUAUGAUUUCCAUUUUUAAAGCAUUUUUAACUUAAAAUGACAUUGUGGAAAAACAUAAACAGCAUCACCCAUCUAACCCAUGUUUGUAUAGAAAACAAAUAAUUAUAAACCGUGACCGAUUUGGUGUUUUAUUCAUUGAUACAUUUGGACUGGAUUUGUCUUGCACAAAAUAUCACAAACAUUCUUCUAGAUUUUUCUUGGUGAAUUUAAUGUAAAAAAGAAGUCUUUGUCUUAUUUUAAGUAGCAGAUUUAAAGUUUCCUUGUAUUGUAAUUUGUCUUGUAUGUUGUUUGAUGUCAGACUGGCAGCAUUUAUUUUCUAUUGCCUAUUUUUGUUUUGGUCUAUUAAAGAAAAGAGGCAACA
This is a non-coding RNA of Misgurnus anguillicaudatus (oriental weatherfish), 777 nucleotides long. NCBI's taxonomy places the organism in Eukaryota, Metazoa, Chordata, Actinopteri, Cypriniformes, Cobitidae. The record is from RefSeq and is a predicted model, not a curated record.